GACGAACGCUGGCGGCGUGCCUAAUACAUGCAAGUUGAACGCUUCUUUCUUAUCGAACUUCGGUUCACCAAGAAAGAGGAGUAGCGAACGGGUGAGUAACACGUGGGUAACCUGCCCAUCAGCGGGGGAUAACACUUGGAAACAGGUGCUAAUACCGCAUAAUGCUUUUUCUCACAUGAGAGAAAGCUGAAAGGCGCUUUUGCGUCACUGAUGGAUGGACCCGCGGUGCAUUAGCUAGUUGGUAGGGUAACGGCUUACCAAGGCAACGAUGCAUAGCCGACCUGAGAGGGUGAUCGGCCACACUGGGACUGAGACACGGCCCAGACUCCUACGGGAGGCAGCAGUAGGGAAUCUUCGGCAAUGGACGAAAGUCUGACCGAGCAACGCCGCGUGAGUGAAGAAGGUUUUCGGAUCGUAAAACUCUGUUGUUAGAGAAGAGCAAGGAUGAGAAGA
RNAcentral lists this ribosomal RNA (453 nucleotides) under Enterococcus italicus. Its description in RNAcentral is "bacterial SSU rRNA". It matches the Rfam family "Bacterial small subunit ribosomal RNA", at positions 28 to 463 of the family's 1533-position model. The record is from RNAcentral. Lineage: Bacteria; Bacillati; Bacillota; Bacilli; Lactobacillales; Enterococcaceae.